CCUACGGGAGGCAGCAGUGGGGAAUAUUGCACAAUGGGCGAAAGCCUGAUGCAGCGACGCCGCGUGAGGGAUGACGGCCUUCGGGUUGUAAACCUCUUUCAGCAGGGAAGAAGCGAGGGUGACGGUACCUGCAGAAGAAGCGCCGGCUAACUACGUGCCAGCAGCCGCGGUAAUACGUAGGGCGCAAGCGUUGUCCGGAAUUAUUGGGCGUAAAGAGCUCGUAGGCGGCUCGUUGCGUCGGUUGUGAAAGCCCGGGGCUUAACCCCGGGUCUGCAGUCGAUACGGGCAGGCUAGAGUGUGGUAGGGGAGAUCGGAAUUCCUGGUGUAGCGGUGAAAUGCGCAGAUAUCAGGAGGAACACCGGUGGCGAAGGCGGAUCUCUGGGCCAUUACUGACGCUGAGGAGCGAAAGCGUGGGGAGCGAACAGGAUUAGAUACCCUGGUAGUCCACGCCGUAAACGUUGGGAACUAGGUGUUGGCGACAUUCCACGUCGUCGGUGCCGCAGCUAACGCAUUAAGUUCCCCGCCUGGGGAGUACGGCCGCAAGGCUAAAACCUUAAGGAAUUGACGA
Molecule: ribosomal RNA, 568 nt
Filed under: uncultured bacterium
Lineage: Bacteria
Description: bacterial SSU rRNA
Rfam family: Bacterial small subunit ribosomal RNA
Source: RNAcentral